Long non-coding RNA from Hyla sarda, 290 nucleotides. RefSeq lists it as uncharacterized. The record is from RefSeq and is a predicted model, not a curated record. The transcript is spliced from 3 exons. NCBI's taxonomy places the organism in Eukaryota, Metazoa, Chordata, Amphibia, Anura, Hylidae.
AUGUGAAAAAAAGUGAAAGAAUCUGAAAACUUCCUGAAUGCAUUACAAUACAUAUUCUGUAUUGCUUUUAAAUUUGGGUCAAAUAUGUUACGGACAGAUUUUAAUUUACACUUCAUACUGAAAUAUGAUUCUACAUCUGGAACUCCAAAUGCGACAUACAGUACAACUUUAAUGCGAUAUCCAUGCACAACGAAAGGAAAAAUACAGAAAGAGGAGAGAAUCAACUUUUAUAAAGCACAUAUUACAACAAAGGAAAGAAAACAACAUUGAAGUAGCUCAUAUUUUGACAG